CCUAAUGAGGAUAUUUAUCGAAAGCUAUGGAUCUGUUUAUCAGUUCCAUAUGAUGCUAUAUUGUCAUAGUUACUCUGAUGGGA
RNAcentral lists this small nucleolar RNA (83 nucleotides) under Arabidopsis thaliana (thale cress). RNAcentral describes it as "ncRNA (AT5G00755)". Lineage: Eukaryota; Viridiplantae; Streptophyta; Magnoliopsida; Brassicales; Brassicaceae. The record is from RNAcentral.